CUACGGGAGGCAGCAGUGGGGAAUAUUGGACAAUGGGGGCAACCCUGAUCCAGCCAUGCCGCGUGAGUGAUGAAGGCCUUCGGGUUGUAAAGCUCUUUUGGCGGGGACGAUGAUGACGGUACCCGCAGAAUAAGCCCCGGCUAACUUCGUGCCAGCAGCCGCGGUAAGACGAAGGGGGCUAGCGUUGUUCGGAAUUACUGGGCGUAAAGCGCGUGUAGGCGGUUAUCCAAGUCGGGUGUGAAAGCCUUGAGCUUAACUCAAGAAAUGCAUUCGGUACUGGGUGACUAGAGGACCGGAGAGGAUAGUGGAAUUCCCAGUGUAGUGGUGAAAUACGUAGAGAUUGGGAAGAACACCAGUGGCGAAGGCGGCUAUCUGGACGGUUUCUGACGCUAAGACGCGAAAGCGUGGGGAGCAAACAGGAUUAGAUACCCCAGUAGUCA
RNAcentral lists this ribosomal RNA (440 nucleotides) under uncultured bacterium. Its description in RNAcentral is "bacterial SSU rRNA". It matches the Rfam family "Bacterial small subunit ribosomal RNA", at positions 339 to 796 of the family's 1533-position model. The record is from RNAcentral.